UACGAAGGGGGCUAGCGUUGCUCGGAAUUACUGGGCGUAAAGGGCGCGUAGGCGGACAGUUUAGUCAAAGGUGAAAUCCCUCGGCUCAACUGAGGAACUGCCUUUGAAACUGCCUGGCUUGAGGCCGGGAGGGGGUAGCGGAAUUCCCAGUGUAGCGGUGAAAUGCGUAGAUAUUGGGAGGAACACCAGUGGCGAAGGCGGCUACCUGGACCGGUUCUGACGCUGAUGCGCGAAAGCGUGGGUAGCAAACAGG
This 253-nucleotide ribosomal RNA is filed under the name uncultured bacterium. RNAcentral describes it as "partial 16S ribosomal RNA". It matches the Rfam family "Bacterial small subunit ribosomal RNA", at positions 524 to 776 of the family's 1533-position model. The record is from RNAcentral.